CCUACGGGUGGCUGCAGCAACGAAUAUUCCGCAAUGGACGAAAGUCUGACGGAGCGACGCCGCGUGCAGGAUGAAGUCCUUCGGGAUGUAAACUGCUGUCAGGGGUGAGGAAUAAGUUGACCAACCCCAGCGGAAGCAUCGGCUACUCCGUGCCAGCAGCCGCGGUANUACGGAGGAUGCAAGCGUUGUUCGGAAUCACUGGGCUUAAAGAGCAUGUAGGUGGGGUGUCAGGCGUCGGGUGAAAUCCCUCGGCUCAACCGAGGAACUGCCUGGCGAACCGGCAUUCUUGAGGCAGGUAGAGGUGGCUGGAACGACGGGUGGAGCGGUGAAAUGCGUAGAUAUCCGUUGGAACGCCGGCGGCGAAAGCGAGCCACUGGGCCUGUCCUGACACUGAGAUGCGAAAGCGUGGGGAGCAAACAGGAUUAGAUACCCUUGUANUC
This 440-nucleotide ribosomal RNA is filed under the name uncultured bacterium. RNAcentral's name for it is "bacterial SSU rRNA". It matches the Rfam family "Bacterial small subunit ribosomal RNA", at positions 338 to 795 of the family's 1533-position model. The record is from RNAcentral.